AAGCUGUGUCUCUCUCCCGGCAGUGCUUGUGGAGUGGGUUUAUGCCAGGAGCCCUGAAGUGGUCCAGCACGACGCCCUGCCCGUGCUCUGGUCCUUCCUGGAGAACAAGGCGCUGCCGGUGCGAAGCGCCAAUGUCCGCACUGUGGCCACCAAGCUUGCCUCUGCCCUCCACAAGGUGAUGGGCACCAAGCUGAAGAGAUGUGCUGCCAGCCAGCCUCCACAUGUGCGGGAAAACCUCUCCAAAAUGUUGGGCUGGUGAAGGCAUGAUGUUCUCCAGAGAGAUGACAACGUGCUGAGUUGGACACCUCCAGAUCUGCCUUGUUAGCUGUGCCAAAAGAGACCAAAUGCUAAGGAAGGGUGUGCACCUGCCCCCUCUCUCUCCAUCGCCCUUCCUAGUCAUGGCAUGGGGGGCCUGAAGCAACUCCAGACUGAGGACAAGGUGAAGGCUGAUCAUGACUCAGCCUCACACAGAGAUCGGACUGGUUACAGUCUUACUGAGAAGGUUCCUCUGGACAAUUCCCAUGGUGCCUUACCCACAAAGUCCUUGCCUGCUGUACAGAAGAGCUCUCUUUUCUCCAAGUUCAGGAAGAAGCUGCUGCCUGUAUGAAUAUUGUUUGAAGAAUAGGAUUUAUAUGUUAGGUUUUGUAGUAGAUGUACAUAUGUUCUGAUCCUUAGAUGUAGUUUUGAAUAAAUGUGUUUUGAUUGUA
Molecule: long non-coding RNA, 707 nt
Organism: Passer domesticus (house sparrow)
Lineage: Eukaryota; Metazoa; Chordata; Aves; Passeriformes; Passeridae
Exons: 2
Source: RefSeq, a predicted model, not a curated record